CACGGGGGGAACGAGCGUUGUUCGGAUUUACUGGGCGUAAAGGGUGCGUAGGCGGGUCAGCAAGUCGGGUGUGAAAGUCCAGGGCUUAACCCUGAAUCUGCAUUCGAAACUGUUGGUCUUGAGUACUGGAGAGGUAAGUGGAAUUCCUGGUGUAGCGGUGAAAUGCGUAGAUAUCAGGAGGAACACCGUUGGCGAAGGCGGCUUACUGGACAGAUACUGACGCUGAGGCACGAAGGUCGGGGGAGCAAACAGG
RNAcentral lists this ribosomal RNA (253 nucleotides) under uncultured bacterium. Its description in RNAcentral is "partial 16S ribosomal RNA". It matches the Rfam family "Bacterial small subunit ribosomal RNA", at positions 524 to 776 of the family's 1533-position model. The record is from RNAcentral.